AGGAAACCUGCUGGAAGUGUCACAGCGUUCUCAUGGCGAUUCAAAGACUUCACCAGCAGAGGAAAAGCACGAUGGGAUCAAGGCAAACUCUACCGCUGCUCUCGACAUCCUGCAUUACCAUCCAAUGAAUAUGCAGAGGCACCAGCCAUUGUAGAGAACGAGCCAGAAGAGACUCGUACCAAUAUCGGGCUCAUCGCUGCUGUGUGGCUGAUGCUCUGCUGUUCCUCUGUCAUGCAGGUUCCCUCCUGAUGAACUGUGAAAGUCAGGGCGCUGUGUUAGUGGCUUCUUUGCUUCUCUCCUCUGUCUCGAACAGACAGUUCCUAUUGCCAAAUCUCUUUUUCACCAGCACUUCUGCACUGCUUCUUGGCUCAGAGCUGUCCUGCAUCACACAUCAAUCCUUCACUACUUUUCUUCUUUCUCUUAGUGUUGAUCUCAAGGGUGCUUCUCCUCUUGCACAACAAGAUACAGGGUCUCCAAGAAGCACACAGUGCUCUGAGAACG
This 501-nucleotide long non-coding RNA is filed under the name Gallus gallus (chicken). Lineage: Eukaryota; Metazoa; Chordata; Aves; Galliformes; Phasianidae. The record is from RNAcentral.